RNAcentral lists this ribosomal RNA (468 nucleotides) under uncultured bacterium. RNAcentral describes it as "partial 16S ribosomal RNA". It matches the Rfam family "Bacterial small subunit ribosomal RNA", at positions 28 to 507 of the family's 1533-position model. The record is from RNAcentral.
GACGAACGCUGGCGGCGUGCUUAACACAUGCAAGUCGAACGGAAAGGCCCUGCUUUUGUGGGGUGCUCGAGUGGCGAACGGGUGAGUAACACGUGAGUAACCUGUCCCUGACUGUGGGAUAACUUCAGGAAACUGGGGCUAAUACCGGAUAGGAGCUCCUGCUGCAUGGUGGGGGUUGGAAAGUUUCGGCGGUUGGGGAUGGACUCGCGGCUUAUCAGCUUGUUGGUGGGGUAGUGGCUUACCAAGGCUUUGACGGGUAGCCGGCCUGAGAGGGUGACCGGCCACAUUGGGACUGAGAUACGGCCCAGACUCCUACGGGAGGCAGCAGUGGGGAAUAUUGCACAAUGGGCGGAAGCCUGAUGCAGCAACGCCGCGUGCGGGAUGACGGCCUUCGGGUUGUAAACCGCUUUCGCCUGUGACGAAGCGUGAGUGACGGUAAUGGGUAAAGAAGCACCGGCUAACUACGUG